CCUACGGGCGGCAGCAGUGGGGAAUAUUGGACAAUGGGGGGAACCCUGAUCCAGCGACGCCGCGUGAGUGAAGAAGUAUUUCGGUAUGUAAAGCUCUAUCAGCAGGGAAGAAAAUGACGGUACCUGACUAAGAAGCCCCGGCUAACUACGUGCCAGCAGCCGCGGUAAUACGUAGGGGGCAAGCGUUAUCCGGAUUUACUGGGUGGAAAGGGAGCGUAGACGGUGCAGCAAGUCUGAUGGGAAAGGUCGGGGGCCAACCCCGGGACUGCAUUGGAAACUGUUGAACUAGAGUACAGGAGAGGUAAGCGGAAUUCCUAGUGUAGCGGUGAAAUGCGUAGAUAUUAGGAGGAACACCAGUGGCGAAGGCGGCUUACUGGACUGUAACUGACGUUGAGGGUCGAAAGCGUGGGGAGCAAACAGGAUUAGAUACCCUUGUAGUC
Molecule: ribosomal RNA, 440 nt
Filed under: uncultured bacterium
Lineage: Bacteria
Description: partial 16S ribosomal RNA
Rfam family: Bacterial small subunit ribosomal RNA
Source: RNAcentral